GGCGGCUCCGCCCCGCUGCGGGGGCCGCCCGCGCCGGCAGAGGCGGCUCCGUUCGCCGCUGUGACGCCGGCGGCGCUGGAACACCUGGAGGGGCGGCGGCGGCGGCGGCUUCGGCUCGGCCCUCCCCUCCCCUCCGCCGCGGGCAAGGCUUGGAGAACUAGAAUGCCACAGGGCAGACAUUCCAGUGAAAACCAAGGACAUUCAUUUCCAGGAGAGUCAGGUGGACGUGUACGGUGUGUAAGUGUCUGAAGAAAAUAAGAAACAUGGAAGGUCAUAAGUACAAUUAUCCAAGGGAAUUUUAUGACCAAUAUGCUCAAAGCCAAGAAAAAUCUGUGGUCAAUAAAAUGCAACAGAAAUACUGGAAAACAAAACAAACCCUUAUAAAAGUUACAGGAAAAAAGGAAGAUGAACAUGUUGUGGCUUCCGAUGCAGAUCUGGAUGCAAAACUAGAGCUGUUCCAUUCUAUUCAGAGAACGUGUAUGGAGUUACUAAAAGCAAUUGAACUGUAUCAAAAAAGGAUUUGUUUUCUGUCUCAGGAAGAAAAUGAAUUGGGGAAAUUUCUUCGGUCACAGGGUUCUCAGGAUAAAACGAGAGCAGGAAAAAUGAUGCAAGCCACAGGAAAGGCCCUCUGCUUUUCUUCUCAGCAAAGAUUAGCACUGCGUGCUCCUCUGAGUAGAUUAUAUCAAGAAGUGGAGACUUUCAGGUACAGGGCCAUCUCAGACACAUGGCUAACAGUAAACCGAAUGGAACAGUAUCGGACUGAAUACAGAGGGGCUCUACUCUGGAUGAAAGAUGUGUCUCAGGAGCUGGAUCCAGAUCUUUAUAAGCAGAUGGAAAAGUUCAGGAAGGUUCAAGCUCAAGUGCGACAUGCAAAACUCAACUUUGACAAACUGAAGACUGAUGUCUGUCAAAAAGUGGAUCUUUUGGGAGCGAGCAGAUGCAACCUCCUUUCUCACGUGUUAACAACAUAUCAGGCAACACUUCUUCAUUUUUGGGAAAAAACUUCACACACAAUGGCAGCCAUCCAUGAAAGUUUCAAAGGUUAUCAGCCAUAUGAAUUCACUAUGUUAAAGAGCUUGCAAGAUCCUGUGAAUAAACUAACAGAAAAAGCAGAAAAGGAAGACCUGCAGAUUGAGAGCACCAAAUCAGUACAAGAUCAGCAGAGUCAGUUGAUUUCAUUAGAUGAGGAGAUCCAUACAAAGGAAUCAAACUAUUCAGCUGGUGAUGGCAAGGAUGUCAUAUCCGCAUUACAAGGAAAUUGUAACCACAAGCAGAACUCAGGUGCCAUAGAUGACUUAUUAGACCUGCAACCUGAAGAAAAUGCUUCAAAGGAUCAGUUUGUGAGGUCCUUGGAGUCAGAACCUGAUGAUAAGGAUGACAUGAUACUACUGAAUGAGAUCCUCAACGCUUCCUCCCUGGACGAAGGGGAAUUCAGCAAAGAGUGGACAGCCGUUUUUGGACAGGUUGCACUUGCUGAUCACACCAUGAACUCUUCAGCUGGAGAUGUGGAGAACGCUUCGUCAUCUGUGGCACCAACACCAUCAGGCUACUUGCCCUCACAGCUGUUAGACCAAAACAUGAAUGACUUGCAGUCGUCUUUAGAUGGAUGGGCAGCUAACAGUGUGAGCCCACCGUCUAUACCACAGCCAGCACAGAAACCGAACAGCCUGAAUGUGAACACUAACAAGACGCCCAUGAAAGAACCUACAAAGAACCCUAAAGACUUGACUGCCUGGUUCAGUCUCUUUGCUGACCUUGACCCGUUAUCCAAUCCUGAUGCUGUUGGGAAAACUGAUAAAGAACAUGAAUUGCUUAAUGCAUGAGUCGGCUGCCUAUGCAAAGGAAGGUAAAAAGGAUGUGUCAGCAGCCACUUAAGAUCGUCGCAGAUUCAAGACUUCCAGGAUUAAAAAAAAAAAAAAAAAAAAGAGGUCUCUUGUCUUGACUGGCACAAUUAAAGGCAUUGCAGAAGUUCAGCUAAAGAUUUAAAGUUCUCAAUUCUGAUCGUGUUUUUAGGUAGGGAACCAGCUGAAUGACCAUCCCUUUUACACAAAACAAACCAUGGCUGCCGGGUUUGUUCCCUCCUUCCCCACCCCCAACUUCACUAUUGAUCAGUUCACAUUAUAUAUUAAUUUCUUGUAAUAUGUGAUUUUUGAAAUUAACAUUAGCUUUGAAUUCUUAGUCUUUAGCCUAUGCAAUUUUUUCACACUUUCAAAUGAAAAAAAUUGAGCUGGAAAAUAUUUUAAAUAUAAUUAAUUUUGCUUAAAGCAAUUGAAAUCCCUAUGUACAAUGUAUUAUUAUCAUGAACAUUUAUUGGAGCUGGAAACUAGAGCAAGAAAUCUAACACCCUGCAAAGAGGGAUUUUUCAGGCAAAACUCUUAAUUACAGUGUUACAAACAAUGCUUCCCUACUACUAACGAAGUGUACAGCAUGCACUUCUUGGCAGCCUGGACUGCAGAGUAACUCUAAGCCCCAGUGCCAUCAUGAGAGGAUUUUCUGUGAUGUGCGUACAGGCUCAGCAGUAGUUGGGACAACAGGGUAGUUCAUCAUCCUGGUAAAAUUACAGAUUGAUUGUUCUACACACAUAACAUUCAUCUUGAUUUAAUAAUGCUUCAUUCCAGUUGCAUAUUCUGGUUGAGUAGUGGAUUGUUUUAAAAUAAAAACAGCUGCAGAACCCCUAUGGCAGAUGAAAACAGUGGUAA
This is an RNA transcript of Tyto alba (common barn owl), 2699 nucleotides long. It is a transcript of the gene named islet cell autoantigen 1, with no coding region annotated. The transcript is spliced from 19 exons. NCBI's taxonomy places the organism in Eukaryota, Metazoa, Chordata, Aves, Strigiformes, Tytonidae. The record is from RefSeq and is a predicted model, not a curated record.